UGAGGAAUAUUGGUCAAUGGACGAGAGUCUGAACCAGCCAAGCCGCGUGAGGGAUGAAGGUACAGAGUAUCGUAAACCUCUUUUGUCAGGGAACAAAAGGCGCCACGCGUGGCGCUCCGAGUGUACCUGAAGAAAAGCAUCGGCUAACUCCGUGCCAGCAGCCGCGGUAAUACGGAGGAUGCGAGCGUUAUCCGGAUUUAUUGGGUUUAAAGGGUGCGUAGGCGGCGAGUUAAGUCAGCGGUAAAAGCCCGGGGCUCAACCCCGGCCCGCCGUUGAAACUGGCUUGCUUGAGUUGGAGAGAAGUAGGCGGAAUGCGCGGUGUAGCGGUGAAAUGCUUAGAUAUCGCGCAGAACUCCGAUUGCGAAGGCAGCCUACCGGCUCCAGACUGACGCUGAGGCACGAAAGCGUGGGUAUCGAACAGGAUUAGAUACC
RNAcentral lists this ribosomal RNA (432 nucleotides) under uncultured bacterium. RNAcentral's name for it is "bacterial SSU rRNA". It matches the Rfam family "Bacterial small subunit ribosomal RNA", at positions 355 to 786 of the family's 1533-position model. The record is from RNAcentral.